Unclassified non-coding RNA from Cavia porcellus (domestic guinea pig), 102 nucleotides. It matches the Rfam family "Y RNA". Rfam says of the family: Y RNAs are components of the Ro ribonucleoprotein particle (Ro RNP), in association with Ro60 and La proteins. The Y RNAs and Ro60 and La proteins are well conserved, but the function of the Ro RNP is not known. Lineage: Eukaryota; Metazoa; Chordata; Mammalia; Rodentia; Caviidae. The record is from Ensembl.
GGCUGCUCCGAGUGCAGUGGUGUUUACAACUAAUUGAUCACAACCAGUUACAGAUUUCUUUGUUCCUUCUCCACUCCCACUGCUUCACUUGACUAGCCUUAA